RNAcentral lists this RNase P RNA (389 nucleotides) under Actinomycetota bacterium. RNAcentral's name for it is "Actinobacteria bacterium RNase P RNA component class A". It matches the Rfam family "Bacterial RNase P class A". From Rfam's summary of the family: Ribonuclease P (RNase P) is a ubiquitous endoribonuclease, found in archaea, bacteria and eukarya as well as chloroplasts and mitochondria. Its best characterised activity is the generation of mature 5'-ends of tRNAs by cleaving the 5'-leader elements of precursor-tRNAs. Lineage: Bacteria; Bacillati; Actinomycetota. The record is from RNAcentral.
CGAGCCGGCCGGGCGGCCGCGGUGUCGGACUUCAUGUCUGGCGCUGAGGAAAGUCCGGGCUCCACAGGGCGCGGUGGUGGCUAACAGCCACCCGGGGUGACCCGCGGGACAGUGCCACAGAAAAUAAACCGCCGGCAGUAAUGCCGGUAAGGGUGAAACGGUGGUGUAAGAGACCACCAGCGCAUCGGGUGACCGAUACGGCUCGGUAAACCCCACUGGGAGCAAGGCCAAAAGGGGGCUUCGGCCCCUGCGCGAGCACUUGAGAACGGCCCGUUCGAGCUCGCGGGUAGGCCGCAUCAGGCCAUCGGCAACGGUGGUCGCAGAGAGAUGGUCGCCCCCUCCGGCCUCGGCCGGAGGGACAGAACCCGGCUUAUAGGCCGACUCGCCCG